Epinephelus moara (kelp grouper) is the source of this 1099-nucleotide long non-coding RNA. RefSeq lists it as uncharacterized. The transcript has 3 exons. Lineage: Eukaryota; Metazoa; Chordata; Actinopteri; Perciformes; Serranidae. The record is from RefSeq and is a predicted model, not a curated record.
UUACACAAACACACCUGGAGGUCUGCACAGAAGAGUCCUGGCUUUCCUUUUCCUCGUCCUCUCCUGGUGCUGUACGCAAAUGUCAUGUCGCAAAGCAAGCGACAGACAUGGACAUCAACAAACAUGUUAUCAGAUGGUUCAACUUAGCGUCUGACCGAGGAGGUGGUCGUCGGGACCGGGAGUGCAGGUCUGCAGAUCAGAACGAGAGGCUACUCGAUGACCUGUGAAACCCAUGAUCUCUCUCAUAUGGCCAGCGUACUCAAGUACUCAAGUGUUUAACCCUGUUUGCAAGUUAAUGUCUCAGUAUUUGUUCCAAUCUACAACAUAUGCAGGGGGAAACAUUUUCCAUAUUGUUCUGGAACUGUUAAUGUUCAGUAUACAGUAUUGUGUUUACAUUUUGUUUUGUUUCAAAUUUCUUGUUUCACAGAAAAUAAUCUUGAUGAAAAAAGACAUUUCAAUCUUUGAAAAAAAACUGUGUUCUACAUCAGAAUUGUCUGUGACAACUUCCUUUCCACAUCUCAGACUUUUAAGAGCAUGGGAAUGUUUUGUGUGGAGAUGGGUUCUAUUUGAUUUGUAAGUAAUUGUUUUAUUGUCUAUUUUGUAACCAUCUGAGAAUCCUCAGAAGGCUCCUAACUAGCAAGAAGUCCUAACUUAAACGUAAUUUAAUGACUUAAAAGUGAUCUUGUUAUGAGAUUGCUCUGAGAGGUUUCUAAAAUCACUUCAGGAGUCUUUGCUACAAGUUUUGAAGGCAAGUAUGUAGCUUUCUGAGGAUUCUCGGAUUUGUGAAUACAGGCUGCUCUGCAAAAACUCUGCAAAAAUUUGUCUGUCCAUCCGUGGAGAAAGUUACUUUUAGGUGAUUAAUCUUAUUUUAAAUGUAAGAUUUUUUUUGUCUAGAAAUGAGACAUUUGGAAUAGAAAUGAGACAAAGAUUUGUGAGAGCAGAAUCAAACGAAAGGUAUAACCUGCACCACUUGAAUUUUCAUGUUUACAGUUUAAAAUUGAAUACUUAACGUUACUAUGGCAGCAUUGUAUUUUUCAGAUAUGCUGUUUACAGGUUUUAGCAUGGUUUUAUACAAUUUAAUGCUAAUCGUUAGUGUGUG